This 118-nucleotide ribosomal RNA is filed under the name Prolemur simus (greater bamboo lemur). The record is from RNAcentral. Lineage: Eukaryota; Metazoa; Chordata; Mammalia; Primates; Lemuridae.
UCUAUGGAUUAUACCACCUUGAAUGUGCCUGACCUUUUCUGAUCUCAGAAGACAAGUCAAGUCAAGCCUGUUAGUACUUAGAUGGAAGAAAUGAUUGGGAAUUUCAGUUUCUUUAUAC